CGCAGCCCCGUCAGAUUCCGUCCCUGCCUCCUCCAUGGCGGGGAGCGGCCAGCCGGCUGCCGCAGCAACGUCUGUGGUCUGUGAGACCCCGGGGAUAAAAUCCCACCACGGACAUCG
Molecule: small nucleolar RNA, 117 nt
Organism: Grus americana (Whooping crane)
Lineage: Eukaryota; Metazoa; Chordata; Aves; Gruiformes; Gruidae
Product: small nucleolar RNA SNORA5
Exons: 1
Source: RefSeq, a predicted model, not a curated record